This 253-nucleotide ribosomal RNA is filed under the name uncultured bacterium. RNAcentral's name for it is "partial 16S ribosomal RNA". It matches the Rfam family "Bacterial small subunit ribosomal RNA", at positions 524 to 776 of the family's 1533-position model. The record is from RNAcentral.
UACGGAGGGUGCGAGCGUUAAUCGGAAUUACUGGGCGUAAAGCGCGCGUAGGCGGCUUAUUAAGUCGGAUGUGAAAUCCCUGGGCUCAACCUAGGAACUGCAUCCGAUACUGAUAGGCUAGAGUAUGGAAGAGGGAAGCGGAAUUCCGGGUGUAGCGGUGAAAUGCGUAGAGAUCCGGAGGAACAUCAGUGGCGAAGGCGGCUUCCUGGUCCAAUACUGACGCUGAGGUGCGAAAGCGUGGGGAGCAAACAGG